CCUACGGGUGACAGCAGUGAGGAAUAUUGGUCAAUGGACGUAAGCCUGAACCAGCCAAGUCGCGUGCGGGAUGACGGCUCUAUGGGUUGUAAACCUCUUUUAUACGGGAAUAAAGCUCGGUACGUGUCUCGUGUUGUAUGUACCUUAUGAAUAAGGAUCGGCUAACUCCGUGCCAGCAGCCGCGGUAAUACGGAGGAUCCGAGCGUUAUCCGGAUUUAUUGGGUUUAAAGGGUGCGUAGGCGGCUUUGUAAGUCAGAGGUGAAAGUCUGUGGCUUAACCCUGGAAUUGCCGUUGAAACUGGUGGGCGAGAGGAUGGUUGCGGCAGGCGGAAUGUGUGGUGUAGCGGUGAAAUGCUUAGAGAUCACGCAGAACCCCGAUUGCGAAGGCAGCCUGCCAAGCCAUGACUGACGUUGAGGCACGAAAGCGUGGGGAGCAAACAGGAUUAGAUACCCUGGUAGUC
This 460-nucleotide ribosomal RNA is filed under the name uncultured bacterium. RNAcentral describes it as "partial 16S ribosomal RNA". It matches the Rfam family "Bacterial small subunit ribosomal RNA", at positions 338 to 795 of the family's 1533-position model. The record is from RNAcentral.